GGGGCGCCGCCCCUCGGCAGGGCGGGAGAUUCGGUGUGCCGGGCGCAGGCCUCGCGUCGCCUGCGGCCUGGGGGUCCCGCGUGCAGUAGCCGUGGCUUCCGGAGAGGCCCGAGCCGGCGAGAGCCGGUGUGGCGGUACGUGAGGGUGUCAGCGCAGCCGUUUCUCUGGGCGCGCGGCUGCUGAGGUGACUCUGAAUUUUUCCAGCUGCAGAAUGCAUAGCACCUUAAAAGGUUGGCCAUGAUGAGUAAACUGGAAUUAAAGGAAGCUAAGAUGCUGGAGGUUCAAUUCGUGGGAGAUGAUGAUGUUCUUAAUCACAUUCUUGAUAGAGAAGGAGGUACUGAGUAA
Long non-coding RNA from Nannospalax galili (Upper Galilee mountains blind mole rat), 345 nucleotides. RefSeq lists it as uncharacterized. The transcript has 3 exons. Lineage: Eukaryota; Metazoa; Chordata; Mammalia; Rodentia; Spalacidae. The record is from RefSeq and is a predicted model, not a curated record.